This 1156-nucleotide ribosomal RNA is filed under the name Microbacterium sp. S1-3. RNAcentral describes it as "bacterial SSU rRNA". It matches the Rfam family "Bacterial small subunit ribosomal RNA", at positions 1 to 1165 of the family's 1533-position model. Lineage: Bacteria; Bacillati; Actinomycetota; Actinomycetes; Micrococcales; Microbacteriaceae. The record is from RNAcentral.
UGAGAGUGUGAUCCUGGCUCAGGAUGAACGCUGGCGGCGUGCUUAACACAUGCAAGUCGAACGGUGAACACGGAGCCUGCUCUGUGGGAUCAGUGGCGAACGGGUGAGUAACACGUGAGCAACCUGCCCCUGACUCUGGGAUAAGCGCUGGAAACGGCGUCUAAUACUGGAUAUGUGACGUGAUCGCAUGGUUUGCGUUUGAGAAAGUAUAUAUUCGGUGUGGGGAUGGGCUCGCGGCCUAUCAGCUUGUUGGUGAGGUAAUGGCUCACCAAGGCGUCGACGGGUAGCCGGCCUGAGAGGGUGACCGGCCACACUGGGACUGAGACACGGCCCAGACUCCUACGGGAGGCAGCAGUGGGGAAUAUUGCACAAUGGGCGCAAGCCUGAUGCAGCAACGCCGCGUGAGGGAUGACGGCCUUCGGGUUGUAAACCUCUUUUAGCAGGGAAGAAGCGAAAGUGACGGUACCUGCAGAAAAAGCGCCGGCUAACUACGUGCCAGCAGCCGCGGUAAUACGUAGGGCGCAAGCGUUAUCCGGAAUUAUUGGGCGUAAAGAGCUCGUAGGCGGUUUGUCGCGUCUGCUGUGAAAACCGGAGGCUCAACCUCGGGCCUGCAGUGGGUACGGGCAGACUUAGAGUGCGGUAGGGGAGAUUGGAAUUCCUGGUGUAGCGGUGGAAUGCGCAGAUAUCAGGAGGAACACCGAUGGCGAAGGCAGAUCUCUGGGCCGUAACUGACGCUGAGGAGCGAAAGGGUGGGGAGCAAACAGGCUUAGAUACCCUGGUAGUCCACCCCGUAAACGUUGGGAACUAGUUGUGGGGUCCAUUCCACGGAUUCCGUGACGCAGCUAACGCAUUAAGUUCCCCGCCUGGGGAGUACGGCCGCAAGGCUAAAACUCAAAGGAAUUGACGGGGACCCGCACACAGCGGCGGAGCAUGCGGAUUAAUUCGAUGCAACGCGAAGAACCUUACCAAGGCUUGACAUAUACGAGAACGGGCCAGAAAUGAUCAACUCUCUUGGACACUCGUAAACAGGUGGUGCAUGGUUGUCGUCAGCUCGUGUCGUGAGAUGUUGGGUUAAGUCCCGCAACGAGCGCAACCCUCGUUCUAUGUUGCCACGCACGUAAUGGUGGGAACUCAUGGGAUACUGCCGGGUCAACUG